This 600-nucleotide ribosomal RNA is filed under the name uncultured bacterium. RNAcentral describes it as "bacterial SSU rRNA". It matches the Rfam family "Bacterial small subunit ribosomal RNA", at positions 8 to 653 of the family's 1533-position model. The record is from RNAcentral.
AGAGUUUGAUCCUGGCUCAGGAUGAACGCUGGCGGUCUGCUUAACACAUGCAAGUCGAACGCAACCUUCGGGUUGAGUGGCGGACGGGUGAGUAACGCGUGAGAAUCUGCCUUAGGGUCGGGGACAACCACUGGAAACGGUGGCUAAUACCGGAUAAGCCGAUUGGUGAAAGAUUUAUUGCCCGAAGAGGAGCUCGCGUCUGAUUAGCUAGUUGGUGAGGUAAGAGCUCACCAAGGCAGCGAUCAGUAGCUGGUCUGAGAGGACGAUCAGCCACACUGGGACUGAGACACGGCCCAGACUCCUACGGGAGGCAGCAGUGGGGAAUUUUCCGCAAUGGGCGAAAGCCUGACGGAGCAAGACCGCGUGAGGGAGGAAGGCUCUUGGGUUGUAAACCUCUUUUCUCAGGGAAGAAGCUCUGACGGUACCUGAGGAAUCAGCCUCGGCUAACUCCGUGCCAGCAGCCGCGGUAAUACGGAGGAGGCAAGCGUUAUCCGGAAUUAUUGGGCGUAAAGCGUCCGCAGGUGGCGAUUCAAGUCUGCUGUCAAAGCACGGGGCUUAACUCCGUUAAGGCAGUGGAAACUGAAGAGCUAGAGUGCCGUA